UGGUUGAUGCCAUGCUUCCAAGAAAAGCUUCUAAGCUUCAGGUAACCAGGAACCGUACCCCAAACCGACACAGGUGGUCGGGUAGAGAAUACCAAGGCGCUUGAGAGAACUCGGGUGAAGGAACUAGGCAAAAUGGCACCGUAACUUCGGGAGAAGGUGCGCCGGCUAGGGUGAAGGAUUUACUCCGUAAGCUCUGGCUGGUCGAAGAUACCAGGCCGCUGCGACUGUUUAUUAAAAACACAGCACUCUGCAAACACGAAAGUGGACGUAUAGGGUGUGACGCCUGCCCGGUGCCGGAAGGUUAAUUGAUGGGGUUAGCGCAAGCGAAGCUCUUGAUCGAAGCCCCGGUAAACGGCGGCCGUAACUAUAACGGUCCUAAGGUAGCGAAAUUCCUUGUCGGGUAAGUUCCGACCUGCACGAAUGGCGUAACGAUGGCGGCGCUGUCUCCACCCGAGACUCAGUGAAAUUGAAAUCGCUGUGAAGAUGCAGUGUAUCCGCGGCUAGACGGAAAGACCCCGUGAACCUUUACUGUAGCUUUGCACUGGACUUUGAGCCUGCUUGUGUAGGAUAGGUGGGAGGCUUUGAAGCGUGGACGCCAGUUCGCGUGGAGCCAUCCUUGAAAUACCACCCUGGCAUGCUUGAGGUUCUAACUCUGGUCCGUGAUCCGGAUCGAGGACAGUGUAUGGUGGGCAGUUUGACUGGGGCGGUCUCCUCCUAAAGAGUAACGGAGGAGUACGAAGGUGCGCUCAGACCGGUCGGAAAUCGGUCGCAGAGUAUAAAGGCAAAAGCGCGCUUGACUGCGAGACAGACACGUCGAGCAGGUACGAAAGUAGGUCUUAGUGAUCCGGUGGUUCUGUAUGGAAGGGCCAUCGCUCAACGGAUAAAAGGUACUCCGGGGAUAACAGGCUGAUACCGCCCAAGAGUUCAUAUCGACGGCGGUGUUUGGCACCUCGAUGUCGGCUCAUCACAUCCUGGGGCUGAAGCCGGUCCCAAGGGUAUGGCUGUUCGCCAUUUAAAGUGGUACGCGAGCUGGGUUUAGAACGUCGUGAGACAGUUCGGUCCCUAUCUGCCGUGGACGUUUGAGAUUUGAGAGGGGCUGCUCCUAGUACGAGAGGACCGGAGUGGACGAACCUCUGGUGUUCCGGUUGUCACGCCAGUGGCAUUGCCGGGUAGCUAUGUUCGGAAAAGAUAACCGCUGAAAGCAUCUAAGCGGGAAACUUGCCUCAAGAUGAGAUCUCACUGGGAACUUGAUUCCCCUGAAGGGCCGUCGAAGACUACGACGUUGAUAGGCUGGGUGUGUAAGCGUUGUGAGGCGUUGAGCUAACCAGUACUAAUUGCCCGUGAGGCUUGACCA
Molecule: ribosomal RNA, 1354 nt
Filed under: Pseudomonas aeruginosa
Lineage: Bacteria; Pseudomonadati; Pseudomonadota; Gammaproteobacteria; Pseudomonadales; Pseudomonadaceae
Description: partial 23S ribosomal RNA
Rfam family: Bacterial large subunit ribosomal RNA
Source: RNAcentral